UCAUUGGAGAGUUUGAUCCUGGCUCAGGACGAACGCUGGCGGCGUGCCUAAUACAUGCAAGUCGAGCGAAUCAAGAGGAGCUUGCUCCUCGAGAUGAGCGGCGGACGGGUGAGUAACACGUGG
This 123-nucleotide ribosomal RNA is filed under the name Neobacillus paridis. RNAcentral's name for it is "partial 16S ribosomal RNA". It matches the Rfam family "Bacterial small subunit ribosomal RNA", at positions 1 to 120 of the family's 1533-position model. The record is from RNAcentral. Lineage: Bacteria; Bacillati; Bacillota; Bacilli; Caryophanales; Bacillaceae.